GUGAUCUCAGCUCACUGCAACCUCCACCUCCUGGGCUUAAGUGAUCCUCCUGCCUCAGCCUCCCAAGUAGCUGGUUAAUUCCUAAAUACUAGUUUUUAAUAUGGUCUUCUGGUAAGUCAGAUUAUACCUGGGGAACCCCCAUAGCGGAUAUGAAACACAGUUCACUUCCUCACAUCUGCUCAUUCAGCCUGUUUAGAUUCAUGUAUCAGAAGGAGGCCCUGCAGAGCAUGAUGUUCAUGCCCAGGCGUUGGUAGAGGGUAUGGUUUAAUGGACUUCGUAUGGUCCAGACGCUGUGAUCCCUGUCCUUGCUGUCUGCUCAGCGAAUCUGGCCUAGCUCCUGUACCCUGGGAUUCACAUGAAUCUCCAGGGAUAUAACUUCUCAACUCAUAGGCCCUUGGCUGCUAUUCAAAAUGAGUUAAGCCAGAAGGAAAUUGAUGUCUGCUCCAUGGUCUCUUCCCACUUCCUGCGUUCCCCACAUCAGCCUCCAUACGAGCCUCUCAUUUCCUCCUCAUAUCAGGGAAGAUAUGGAAGUGUUGCCCAGUGGCUGAAGGGGACUAUUUGGGGACAGUACCCUCCACAUCACUUCCCAUUUUCACUUUAUCACAGGCAGGCCAGCUGAGUCAGAUAUGUGGGUUCUGCAGAUAAAAGGUGUGCCUUUCUAGCUCUGUGAUUCUGAGCAGACUGCCUCACCUCCCAGCCCUCAGUGUCCUUGUCCACUCAAUGGAGGAACUGCAGCACCUCCCGGUUGUGGAGACAGUGUCUGGCCCAGGAUAUGUCCCAGCAAGAAUGCAUUGUUGCUACGACCAGUAUCAUUGCCAUUGCCUUGUUCCUCAGUUUCUCAUCCACCUCCCUGCCCAGCCUUCCAGAUGUUCAGGGGCAUGUAGGAACCUUCUAGCUUGGCCUCAAGAGAGGACUUCGCUGCAGGCGUCCCAGAACGAAAAGACAUGUGACUGGUGCAAGAGCUUCAUGGGAGCCUCACCCUCGUGGGAGUAGGAUUGAGGGUGAGGUGUCAUGGUUUGACCAAAUUUCCAAGGGGAGUUUAAUCAGAAGACUGUUUACAAAGGACGCAGGAAAUGGAGGGUCUUUGGACCUUCCUGUGAUCAGGCCCUGCUCCACCACUAUGGACCUUUAAUUUUUCCAUGUUCAUGACUCCUUAUCUUUCAUUAGCUGUGUGACUUUGUGCAAAUUCCUUAACUUCUUAAACCUUUAAACUCUUUGUCACUGUCUGCCUAGAGGUGUUAGGAUUCAGUGGCACAGUGCACAUGCAGCAGGUGACAGUCAUCUGCAUGUAGCACUCCUGUGAACACGUGCGUGUGUAGGUGUGUGACUUGUAUUUUAUCUCCCACAGAGUCAAAAAUCUAACUGCUGUUUUGUGAAUUUUCCUUGUCACAUACCUAAACCGUCGUUCAUUGACCUUAAAAGUGGAGAGUAGAAUGGUGGUUGCCAGAGGCUGGGGAGCGCAGGGGUGGAUGGCUGAUGAGAGGUUAGUCAGCAAGGACAAAGUUGCAGUUGGGAGGAAUGAGUCCCAGCGCUCCAUUGCACAGUAACACAAGUUGGUUAACAAUAAUAGGUCAUGUGUCUCAUGAUAGCUGGCCAAUGAGGAUCCACUACGGUAUUUGCAUUUCAUGGAUUUACUUCCAACAGGCAUGAAAACUGAGUGAAGCCGACCACCAGGUGGCGCUGGGAAGCACUUAAUGUUCCAGUGCAUCUGCGACUCUUAACAGGAGAUGGCAGGCUUUUACUGUCUGAUUUUAAGGCGUCUUCAACUUUGUACAGUCACAGUGAGGAAGGAAGCAAUGGAUAGUAAAAAUAAGCAAACACUGGGCAAUUGCAGAGCUUAAAAAGUGUCACAGAGGUUAUGCAGCCUCAUUCUUGAGCAGUAUUUCCCAGUUCCCUUUUCAGAUGGUAAUUGAUAACUCGGUCCCUCUUUUCUGUUCAUCCUGAGUGGAGCUGACAAGCCGUCGCCUUCCUCGGUUCCCUGCUUUUCUCUAGGAAAUGUGACUUCUGUGUAAGUUCUUCCCCAGUCUGGGGCCUGGAGAUAAAGGUCCAUAGAGGAUGUGUAAACGUGUGCCCUUAAGGCACCCUCUGCGUCAAAUGAUUGCGGGCAUCUCUCCUGACUUUAAGACUGGGAGAUACUCAGACACUCGUUUCAGUAGCUGCUUCUCCUCUUUGGCACUUACUUUUAUUUGAAUGGAAAAUCCAAGGAUAAGUGGCAAUCAAGGCUUAAAAAGCUGGAAACAGAUUCGGGAGGUGUGGAUGGGCAUCAGAUGGGCAUCAAGGUGCAAGAGACCUUAGGGAGGAUGGCAGGGGCUCACUGACUGAUGGCAGGGACUCGCUGACUGAUGGCAGUUUAUGUUUGAUUGUUCUGAGAAACUGCAAACUGUUUCCGAAAGUGCACAGGCUUACAGUCUCAUCAGCAAUGUGCGAAGUUCCAGUUUCUCCGCACCCUCGCCAGCAUUAGUUUUGGUCUGCCCCUGUUGUUGUUACAGCUGUUUUAGUGGGUAUUAAAUGGUGUCUCAUUGUGGAUUUAAUUACAAUUCCUUACUGCCUAAUGAUCUGAGCAUCUUUUCAUGUGCUUAUUGGCCAUUUGUAUGGCUUUUGUGAAAUCCCCCGUGGCAUUCCUAUGAGUUCACUGUGGUGCCGCAGGGUGACUAUGUGCACAGUCUUAGAACUGUGCAUUUAGACACUAUUUGUUGUGCACAGUCUUAGAACUGUGCAUUUAGACACUAUUUGUUAGUUCCCAACUUUAAUCAAUGAUAAAAUUUGCAUUUUAGCAUAUUUUUAUUUCUCCGUCUUUUCUCUUUCUUCCAUUUCUCCGUUUCUUCACACAGACAUCUAAUAUGCACCUUAAACUUUAUGUGUCUGAAACAAUGCUUCAAGCACAACCCCAGCUCUCCAACGAGCUUUCUUUAUUGUUAUUCCUUAGUUUUAAAGAUGAGGAAGACUGGGUCUUGCCCUUAAACACCCAAGUUGAAAUGGGACAGGCAAGCAUGUGGAGGUGAUCACAGUACAGUGACAUGUGACUGGCUCUGGCUGGGUUUGGGCACAUUUUCAUUUUAUAUCAUGAAAUUGAUCAAGACCCUGCGUCUUCAUUGUAUUUCCUUUUUCUUGUUAUGCAGCAUAUUUUUACAAGACUGGAUUCUUUCACGUACCCAUACACUGGGGCAAAUCAACUAUCCAGACCUAGGUUAGCAACAUUAGAUGAUGUGACAUCCACCGUGCCGUGGUCAUUGUCACUCCUGGUUGGAUUCUGCCCUGGGCAGAGAGGGCUAGUGGGUGUGACUCUAGGCCCAGUUUCCAUGGCCUGGCAGUCCUCACUAGGAGGCCAGUGCUGGACUGGAAGCCUGUCUUCACCAACUGGUUUCUGGUGCUUUGAACACAUGGAGAUCAAGGAAAACUACAAUUUUUAGUGUGCAUUUCUGUCACAUGUGGCCUCUGUCACUUAGAAUUAUAUCCAUGCUCCAACACCAAUCCCUCCCUAACAUUAGCUAGUUCUAACACGAUGCUUUCUGUGUGCCAGGUACUAUUCUAUAAGUAUGUUACACAUUUUAACUCAGUCUUCACAGAAAGGUAGGAUUUACCAUGAUUUCCAUUUUAUAGAUGAAAUAACCAAGGAAUAGAGAAGUUAAGUAAAUUGCCCACAAAUACUCAGAUAGUAAAGUGAUGUAAGUAGAAUUUGACUCGGGAAAUCUGGCUUCAGAGGCUGGGCUCUUAGUUACACACCAUGUGGGAAACGGUUAACUAUGCACUCUUUAUGUUGAAAUUAAUCUUUUUAAACUAUGUAAAUAAGAGGGUGAUUCUUGGUGUUGAUCUCCUGAGAAGAUAGGACAUAUUCCACCCCCCAGGACUGGCAUGUGGCCCAGUGGCAGUGCCAGAACCUUUGAACACACAGCUCUAUUCCAUGUGACACCAGUGGAAAACGAAGCAUUUCUUGGCAGUGUUGAUGAGUAUUUGGAUGAAAAAAACAGAAGAGCUCAUUAAACCUGUAAAACUCUGUUCCAGAGGUGACCAGCAUUACUUCCCCUGGGAAAUCACUGAAGAACAGUUACCCUGAGACACAGAUUGGGCCGAUACUGAGGAGACCUCCGACCCAAAGGAAAUAGACUGCAGCAGUGAUCAGCCAACUUUGGAGUUAAGAAAACUUUUAAGCUAUUUAUAACUUUUAACAAUAGAGUCAAGUAUAUUUCUGAGAACAAAAUUUGGAGCAUAUUCGUUUCUCUCUACCUGAUAUCUUCAGAAUUUGGAAAC
Long non-coding RNA from Cercocebus atys (sooty mangabey), 4248 nucleotides. RefSeq lists it as uncharacterized. The transcript has 3 exons. The record is from RefSeq and is a predicted model, not a curated record. NCBI's taxonomy places the organism in Eukaryota, Metazoa, Chordata, Mammalia, Primates, Cercopithecidae.